RNAcentral lists this small nuclear RNA (20 nucleotides) under Arabidopsis thaliana (thale cress). Its description in RNAcentral is "snRNA_18471". Lineage: Eukaryota; Viridiplantae; Streptophyta; Magnoliopsida; Brassicales; Brassicaceae. The record is from RNAcentral.
GUCUGAGCCUACAUCUUCAG